This 949-nucleotide ribosomal RNA is filed under the name Fibroporia vaillantii. RNAcentral describes it as "LSU rRNA". It matches the Rfam family "Eukaryotic large subunit ribosomal RNA", at positions 35 to 962 of the family's 3401-position model. The record is from RNAcentral. Lineage: Eukaryota; Fungi; Basidiomycota; Agaricomycetes; Polyporales; Fibroporiaceae.
UAAGCAUAUCAAUAAGCGGAGGAAAAGAAACUAACAAGGAUUCCCCUAGUAACUGCGAGUGAAGCGGGAAAAGCUCAAAUUUAAAAUCUGGCAGUUUAAUAGCUGUCCGAGUUGUAGUCUGGAGAAGUGCUUUCCGUGCUAGACCGUGUACAAGUCCCUUGGAACAGGGCGUCAUAGAGGGUGAGAAUCCCGUCUUUGACACGGACUACUAGUGCUUUGUGAUGCGCUCUCAAAGAGUCGAGUUGUUUGGGAAUGCAGCUCAAAAUGGGUGGUAAAUUCCAUCUAAAGCUAAAUACAGGCGAGAGACCGAUAGCGAACAAGUACCGUGAGGGAAAGAUGAAAAGCACUUUGGAAAGAGAGUUAAACAGUACGUGAAAUUGCUGAAAGGGAAACGCUUGAAGUCAGUCGCGUUGUCCGGAAAUCAGCCUUGCAUUUAUUUGCUUGGUGUAUUUUCUGGUUGACGGGCCAGCAUCGAUUUUAAUCGUUGGAUAAAGGCGAGGGAAAUGUGGCACCUUCGGGUGUGUUAUAGUCCCUUGUCACAUACAACGGUCGGGAUCGAGGAACUCAGCACGCCUUUAUUGGUCGGGGUUCGCCCACGUUUCGUGCUUAGGAUGUUGGCAUAAUGGCUUUAAACGACCCGUCUUGAAACACGGACCAAGGAGUCUAACAUACCUGCGAGUGUUUGGGUGGUAAACCCGAGCGCGUAAUUAAAGUAAUAGUUGAGAUCCCCGUUACAAGGGAGCAUCGACGCCCGGACUUGACCUUCUGUGAUAGCUCUGCGGUAGAGCAUGUAUGUUGGGACCCGAAAGAUGGUGAACUAUGCCUGAAUAGGGUGAAGCCAGAGGAAACUCUGGUGGAGGCUCGUAGCGAUUCUGACGUGCAAAUCGAUCGUCAAAUUUGGGUAUAGGGGCGAAAGACUAAUCGAACCAUCUAGUAGCUGGUUCCUGCC